This 253-nucleotide ribosomal RNA is filed under the name uncultured bacterium. RNAcentral's name for it is "partial 16S ribosomal RNA". It matches the Rfam family "Bacterial small subunit ribosomal RNA", at positions 524 to 776 of the family's 1533-position model. The record is from RNAcentral.
UACGGAGGGGGCUAGCGUUGUUCGGAAUUACUGGGCUUAAAGCGCACGUAGGCGGAUCUUUAAGUCAGUGGUGAAAUCCCAGAGCUCAACUCUGGAACUGCCUUUGAUACUGGGUAUCUCGAGUAUGGAAGAGGUGAGUGGAAUUCCGGGUGUAGAGGUGAAAUUCGUAGAUAUUCGGAGGAACACCAGUGGCGAAGGCGGCUCACUGGUCCAUUACUGACGCUGAGGUGCGAAAGCGUGGGGAGCAAACAGG